Molecule: long non-coding RNA, 503 nt
Organism: Diceros bicornis minor
Lineage: Eukaryota; Metazoa; Chordata; Mammalia; Perissodactyla; Rhinocerotidae
Exons: 3
Source: RefSeq, a predicted model, not a curated record
AACACAAGGAGAAAGCUAUGUGGUGACAGAGGCCAAGAUUGGAGCAGUGUGUCUACAAGCCAAGGAAUACCAAAGAGUCCUGCAACACCACAAGCUAAAAGAAAGGCAUUCAACAGCCUCUCCUCGAGCCUUCAGAGAGUCGGCUGACACCUUGAUUUCAGAAUUCUAGCCUCCAGAACUAUUGGCUCUGAGCCAACAUCCAGGCCCACCCUCUUCCACUUUGUACAUCUGGAUGCCGCCGCAUCAUGGCUUGAUGAGCAGUGCACAGGUACGCAGCCGGGAUCCAAACCUGCGAACCCCAGGCCACAGAAGUGAAGCAUGUGAAACCAACCACUACGACACAGGGCUGGUCCCUGGGAACUGGAAUAUUUUAAAGCUCCCCAGUUAUUUUAUAGGUUUCUUCUCACAAGAUUGUUACAUUUCUGAAGUAGCUUCCCAGGUAUUUUAUACUUUUUGUUGCUAUUCUGAAUCUGAAUUUAAUCUCUUUGUACAUUAUAUUUCCU